This is a long non-coding RNA of Trifolium pratense (red clover), 1309 nucleotides long. RefSeq lists it as uncharacterized. The transcript has 3 exons. NCBI's taxonomy places the organism in Eukaryota, Viridiplantae, Streptophyta, Magnoliopsida, Fabales, Fabaceae. The record is from RefSeq and is a predicted model, not a curated record.
UUUUUACAAUUGAAAUUGAAUAUAUUUUGUGCAUAUGCUCCAGGUCUUGAUCUAUCAUCCCAGUUGAAUAAUAAUUGAUUAAAUUAAUAAGGAAUUAUUAAGUGUAAUCAUUACUUGUUUUGGUCAUUUUGGUUUUGUCCAUCAGGUUCCAAAGCAUAUGAAUCUGUGAGAAAUAUGCUACUCAUGGUAAUUACAAAUCAAAUGCUAAAUUCACUUUUGUGGCAAUGUUCGGAGUGGUUCACUCUAUUAUACUUAUCUUAGAUAACUGAAUUCUGAAGCUCAAAUGCUUAUCUUAUUUGUCUUAUGGAGAUGCUAUCUUUAGGAGUAGAGGGAGGAUUUUGCUUCUAUCAUAGGGAGAUAGAUUUGUAUUGGGGUGAAGUGGUUUUCUUCAAGUUUGCUUUUGUAUAUUGGGAUAUUUAUUGACUGUGUUCUGGUUUAAGCAUUCCAUAUGCCUUAUUAUUGAAUAUAGUUUUCUUUGCUUAUUUAGAAAUUCCUUAUACUCUGUGUUCUGGUUUAGAAAUUCUUUGCUUAUUUAAUAUAGCCGACAUUGAUCAUUGCCUGAACCUUAUUUACAAAAUGCCUAUAAGUGUUUCGUUAUGGAGCUGAAGUCAGGUAUAUCCAUUUCCUUUCUAAUUUUCGUUCGUGUUUCAUUCAUUUUAGUUUAACAUAUUUUUAAUCGAAAUUGGAGGCCUUGAAGUUGUGAUUUUGUGUGUGUGCGCACGCGCGCGUGCCUGUGUCUGUAUCUCAGUGAAAAUCAAUUUUGCUCACCAUUGAACUUACACAUCUGCAGGUUAAGGGAAUUACCUAUAUCAGAGAUUGGAAGGCUUGUAUAUGUAAAAAGAGUGGUAAAGAGGACAAUAGUUUCGACCCGAGCUCCUCUAAGGGACUUUCAAGUGCCUAGAAUGAGGUGGUGUAUUUUAUAAAGAAUGUAGAGAAAAUUUACUGAUAGGAAAAGGUUGUGUACAUUGCUAGAAGUUGUUGCCACAAAAAGAGAUCACUUGCAUCCUCGUCGACGUCAUCAACAACUUCUUGAAAACAUGAGAGAGGAGCUGGCAUGGUUGUAAAAUGGCAGAGGAAUGCUUAGGUUAAAUUUAAUUUGUUUGCUGUGGUGUUCUGACGAUCAUCAACCGGUUGCAGGAAAUGGACUGUUGGGAGCUUGUAGUAAAUCAAUUUUGUUGUCUUGUGGUUGGUUGUUUUAAUCUGAUUAAGGUUGAGGAUCAUAAGGACCUUUGUAUUAGCAUAAGUUUGUUUUGUUGGUUAGAUGUACUCAAAUAUUGUUUCAGACCAAAUCUAGUAUAUUUUUCAUGUU